GUUCUAGUAGCUUAAUCAUAAAGCACCGGUCUUGUAACCCGGAGAUUGAGGGCUGAAUCCCCUCCUAGUGCC
This 72-nucleotide transfer RNA is filed under the name Ameiurus serracanthus (spotted bullhead). RNAcentral describes it as "tRNA-Thr". It matches the Rfam family "tRNA". Rfam says of the family: Transfer RNA (tRNA) molecules are approximately 80 nucleotides in length. Their secondary structure includes four short double-helical elements and three loops (D, anti-codon, and T loops). The record is from RNAcentral. Lineage: Eukaryota; Metazoa; Chordata; Actinopteri; Siluriformes; Ictaluridae.